GUGAAGAUUCAAGGGCCAGCCAUACAGACGUACAAUAAGUGUGUCUCUGGCGGCUCGCAUCCACUAUACAUCCAUAAACCCGUGUGCACUGUUCUAAGGAGUAAGCAAGAAGAAGAAGGGGGAGGGAGAGAGAGUGCAUGUGCUUUGCAUAUAACUCUCUCACUCUCAAC
Molecule: unclassified non-coding RNA, 170 nt
Filed under: uncultured Malassezia
Lineage: Eukaryota; Fungi; Basidiomycota; Malasseziomycetes; Malasseziales; Malasseziaceae
Source: RNAcentral